Molecule: ribosomal RNA, 451 nt
Filed under: uncultured bacterium
Lineage: Bacteria
Description: bacterial SSU rRNA
Rfam family: Bacterial small subunit ribosomal RNA
Source: RNAcentral
ACUCCUACGGGAGGCAGCAGUGGGGAAUCUUGGACAAUGGGCGCAAGCCUGAUCCAGCCAUGCCGCGUGAGUGAUGAAGGCCUUAGGGUCGUAAAGCUCUUUCGCCAGGGAUGAUAAUGACAGUACCUGGUAAAGAAACCCCGGCUAACUCCGUGCCAGCAGCCGCGGUAAUACGGAGGGGGUUAGCGUUGUUCGGAAUUACUGGGGCGUAAAGCGCGCGUAGGCGGAUCGGAAAGUUGGGGGUGAAAUCCCGGGGGCUCAACCCCCGGAACUGCCUCCAAAACUAUCGGUCUAGAGUUCGAGAGAGGUGAGUGGAAUUCCGAGUGUAGAGGUGAAAUUCGUAGAUAUUCGGAGGAACACCAGUGGCGAAGGCGGCUCACUGGCUCGAUACUGACGCUGAGGUGCGAAAGUGUGGGGAGCAAACAGGAUUAGAUACCCUGGUAGGAUAGCG